RNAcentral lists this unclassified non-coding RNA (332 nucleotides) under soil metagenome. RNAcentral's name for it is "partial contains 5.8S ribosomal RNA, internal transcribed spacer 2, and large subunit ribosomal RNA". The stretch from base 1 to 120 matches the Rfam family "5.8S ribosomal RNA", at positions 35 to 154 of the family's 154-position model. The record is from RNAcentral.
GAUGAAGAACGUAGCGAAAUGCGAUAAGUAAUGUGAAUUGCAGAAUUCAGUGAAUCAUCGAAUCUUUGAACGCCCAUUGCGUCCCCUGGUAUUCCGGGGGGCAUGCCUGUUCGAGCGUCAUUUCACCACUCAAGCCUCGCUUGGUAUUGGGCGACGCGGUCCGCCGCGCGCCUCAAAUCGACCGGCUGGGUCUUCCGUCCCCUCAGCGUUGUGGAAACUAUUCGCUAAAGGGUGCCGCGGGAGGUCACGCCGCAAAACAACCCCAUUUCUAAGGUUGACCUCGGAUCAGGUAGGGAUACCCGCUGAACUUAAGCAUAUCAAUAAGCGGAGGA